This 311-nucleotide unclassified non-coding RNA is filed under the name uncultured Glomus. Its description in RNAcentral is "SSU rRNA". It matches the Rfam family "Eukaryotic small subunit ribosomal RNA", at positions 569 to 887 of the family's 1831-position model. The record is from RNAcentral. Lineage: Eukaryota; Fungi; Glomeromycota; Glomeromycetes; Glomerales; Glomeraceae.
AGCAGCCGCGGUAAUUCCAGCUCCAAUAGCGUAUAUUAAAGUUGUUGCAGUUAAAAGCUCGUAGUUGAAUUUCGGGACCAAUUUGUUGGUCGUGCCUCGGUACGUACUGGUAUUAUUGGUUUCUCCCUUCUAAAUAACCUCGAUGCCAUUAAUUUGGUGUCGUGGGGAAUCAGGACUGUUACUUUGAAAAAUUAGAGUGUUUAAAGCAAGCAUACGCUUGAAUACAUUAGCAUGGAAUAAUGAAAUAGGACGUUUGAUUCUAUUUUGUUGGUUUCUAGGAUCGACGUAAUGAUUAAUAGGGAUAGUUGGGG